UACGUAGGGUGCGAGCGUUGUCCGGAAUUAUUGGGCGUAAAGAGCUUGUAGGCGGUUUGUCGCGUCUGCCGUGAAAAUCCGGGGCUCAACUCCGGACUUGCGGUGGGUACGGGCAGACUAGAGUGUGGUAGGGGAGACUGGAAUUCCUGGUGUAGCGGUGAAUUGCGCAGAUAUCAGGAGGAACACCGAUGGCGAAGGCAGGUCUCUGGGCCACUACUGACGCUGAGAAGCGAAAGCGUGGGGAGCGAACAGG
Molecule: ribosomal RNA, 253 nt
Filed under: uncultured bacterium
Lineage: Bacteria
Description: partial 16S ribosomal RNA
Rfam family: Bacterial small subunit ribosomal RNA
Source: RNAcentral